GCCCUGCGCGUGAGUGAAGAAGGCCUUCUGGUUGUAAAGCUCUUUUGUCGGGGAAGAACAAGUAUAAGUUGAAACCUCUUGUACCUUGACGGUACCUAACCAGAAAGCCCCGGCUAACUACGUGCCACCACCCGCGGUAUAU
RNAcentral lists this ribosomal RNA (142 nucleotides) under uncultured Terribacillus sp. RNAcentral's name for it is "partial 16S ribosomal RNA". It matches the Rfam family "Bacterial small subunit ribosomal RNA", at positions 391 to 525 of the family's 1533-position model. The record is from RNAcentral. Lineage: Bacteria; Bacillati; Bacillota; Bacilli; Caryophanales; Bacillaceae.